This 817-nucleotide ribosomal RNA is filed under the name Rossellomorea vietnamensis. RNAcentral describes it as "bacterial SSU rRNA". It matches the Rfam family "Bacterial small subunit ribosomal RNA", at positions 51 to 844 of the family's 1533-position model. The record is from RNAcentral. Lineage: Bacteria; Bacillati; Bacillota; Bacilli; Caryophanales; Bacillaceae.
AUACAUGCAGUCGAGCGGAUUGAUGGGAGCUUGCUCCCUGAUAUCAGCGGCGGACGGGUGAGUAACACGUGGGUAACCUGCCUGUAAGACUGGGAUAACUCCGGGAAACCGGGGCUAAUACCGGAUAACUCAUUUCCUCGCAUGAGGAAAUGUUGAAAGGUGGCUUUUACCUACCACUUACAAAUGGACCCGCGGCGCAUUACCUAGUUGGUGAGGUAACGGCUCACCAAGGCAACAAUGCGUACCCAACCUGAAAGGGUGAUCGGCCACACUGGGACUGAAACACGGCCCAAACUCCUACGGGAGGCAGCAGUAGGGAAUCUUCCGCAAUGGACAAAAGUCUGACGGACCAACCCCCCGUGAGUGAUGAAGGUUUUCGGAUCGUAAAGCUCUGUUGUUAGGGAAAAACAAGUGCCGUUCGAAUAGGGCGGCACCUUGACGGUACCUAACCAAAAAGCCACGGCUAACUACGUGCCACCAGCCGCGGUAAUACGUAGGUGGCAAGCGUUGUCCGGAAUUAUUGGGCGUAAAGCGCGCGCAGGUGGUUCCUUAAGUCUGAUGUGAAAGCCCACGGCUCAACCGUGGAGGGUCAUUGAAAACUGGGGAACUUGAGUGCAAAAGAGGAAAGUGAAAUUCCAAGUGUAGCGGUGAAAUGCGUAGAUAUUUGGAGGACCACCAGUGGCGAAGGCAACUUUCUGGUCUGUAACUGACACUGAGGCGCAAAAGCGUGGGGGAGCAAACAGGAUUAGAUACCCUGUUAGUCCCACGCCGUAAAACGAUGAUUGCUAAGUGGUUAAGGGGGUUUCCCGCCCCCUUA